UUUUUUUUUUGGUUAGAAAAUCUGAAACUUGUGUAAAUAACUAGAUUAAUUGUUGCUCAGUCUCAUACUGUAAAUAUUAUACUCCUAUGCCAUGUUUUAAUAUGAAUCACUGGUCUCUAAUGAAAUUUUCCCUAUUUUUGCAAAUUGAGACAUGGUUGAGAGGAUUCUUAGUGAAGAACCUAGUUCAUCAGUGCUGGUUCAUCUGAAAAAUGAGGUAUGUGUUCUACCCUAUGCAUAUUUUGAAAUACUAAUAUUUAAAUCAUGAGCAGAACUCUACCCAAGUCCAAAAUCUUCCAAAGCCUAUCCAAUAAAAAUUUGAACCAGUUCCGUUUCAACUAAAGAAUCCUCACCGAAUUAAAACACCUAGAUUCCAGGGGAGCUGUAACCGUGAUUCCAAACUGAAAAACUGCAGAGUGAUUAGACUUCUAAUUGACCACAAAAAGCUGAAGUUGUGUAUUAAUUACACUUCUCCUUUAAAUCCCUCAUCAACUCUGCAAACUCUUCAUUAUUUCUGAAAAAACCGUCGAAACCCUUUCUUCUCUCCUUGCCUUCGAAUUCAAUCCAAGAUUUUUUAUUCAUCAUAAAACCAUAACCAAAAUGUGUAACCCCUGGAAUAACCUUGGUACUCCUCCACCCCCUACUCCUUCCUCUUCCUCAACAACCCCUCAACCUAGUUCUAUCCCCCAACCUAGAAAAAGGAGAGUCAAAAUGCUUGCUAGAAAAAUAGUGGCCAACAGUGCUUUAUCUCAAAAAUUAAAUGCCCAUCUUAAAGCAAGCCAAGACCAAAACUCACAAAAUUCGACUUUAAAUCAGCGAUUGAGGGGGAAGAAAGUGGGUGUUCCGAUUCUGAACAGGUAACUUCUGUCCCAAAUACUUCAUCUUAGGUUAUUUCUGAGAGUGCUAAAAAUUUCGAAACUAGGUUCAUCCUGGUUGGGUCUGUGAUAGAUGUGAAAAUGCUUGAGACAAGAAGGAGAGGUGGUAAAAAUAAAAUUGAAAAAGAAAAAAAAAGAGAGGGAGUACGGAGUGAAGAGAAGGGAAAAGGGAAAAAAGUGGUUGAUUCUUCACCCACCUCUGAAUCUGUUAGAAUGGUUGUUUGUGGAAUUGAACCAGAGAAAGAGGAAGAAGGUGGCAGGCACACAGGGGAAAGUGGAUUAGGAGAAGCCACUAAAGGGCUAGAAAAUCUUGGAAAGCAAGCAGACCAACUUGGUUCAUCUGCUAAGAAAACCCUGGCUGAUCUCUUGAAAAGAUUAAGUGACAGUUACCAACCCAAGAAGAAAAGAACUCCUAAAGCUACAACCUCUAGAACAACAAGAGCCAACAAGAAAUGGAAAGUUGCUCCUUCUGAGACCUAUGAUAUUCCUCUUCCAAGAGGAAGAACUACAAGGAUCAAGCUAAAGCAGAGUGAGGAGGAGUUGCAGAGAGCUUUAGAGGAGAGUAAGAAGAAAAAAAUGGAUAAAGGGAAAGAAAAAGUGGUUGAGGCUGUUGAGUUGGAUGAGAUGGACCUGGUCCAUGAAAGUGAAAAGGUGGCAGAGGUAGAGGUUCAGAUCUCUAAGCCAAAGAAAUCCAAGACUUCCUCAAAGAAGUCUUCAUCUGUUUCUAAGUCUGUUGAACCCUCUAUCUUGGCUAAGCGAACUAGGUCCGCAGUGAAAGCCAAGCAAGUGAAAAUUACUGAAGAAGAUGAUUGGAGUGGUGAAGAGGAGGAUGUGUCUGAUGGUGAGAAGGACAAGCUGACAAAGUUUGGUAAAAGAAUAAUUCUGAAGCGGAGAUUGUUGAAGGACUUAGAAGAAGAAGGAAUGAUUUUGCUGCUGGAGAAGCUUGAGAUACAGGGAUGGAAGGACAUGGUCCUUCAGUUGGAUGGGAGACUAGCUAGGAAUGAGAUUGUGAAAUUCAUGGCCAAUGCUGAGGUCAAGGAAGGCAGAGUCACUAGCCUAGUGAAAGGGGUCCAAAUCUCUUUUGAUGCUAAAGAACUGGGUAAAAUCCUUGGCAUAUCCUCUGAAGGCUAUGAUGACUAUACUAGGCAGAAAUGGCCCAGUCUGGAUUCUCUUCCAACUGCCCUGGCUAUCACAAGGAAAUUUUAUGAUAAUGAAGAAGAGAGUGAGCCCAAGGCAAUCUAUAAGAGUGAAAGGAAUCCACCCCACAAGGUGAUCUUUGAAUUUAUCAAUAAGUGCGUGUUGCCAAGGCAGGAAAGGAGGCAUAUUGCAAAUUACAUGGACUUGGUCUUGAUGGAGUGCAUGGACAGUGGGAGGCAGAUAAACUGGCCUGGGUUCAUCACUCGGAUUUUGGACAGAGUUGUCAAUGGCUCCAAAGCCCAUGCCAUUCCUUAUGGUUUCAUCCUCACUUUUGUUCUUGCUCAUUAUAAGGUGCCAUUGAAGAAGGCGGAGAUGGCCACAAUCAAAGACCAUUUUGGGAUCAAUACUCUUCUUGCUUGUGAUUGUGAGAUCCAUGCCGUCCCCAAUGAACCUGGUUCAUCAAAAAGGACACCUGUAAACAACAAGGUCAGAGCCCUAGUGCAGGAGAGUAGGGCAAAGGAUGCAGAGAUAGCAAGGCUGAAGACUCGUUUGGCUGAGGUUGAAUCUGAGAGGGAUGUUCUCAGAGUUGAGCUUACAAAGGAAAGGGAGAAUAAUGAGGGAAUUCUUCACGAUAUGUUGAAUCUUCUCCAAGCCAAAACCCAAGCCCCUAGUUCUUCCAAGCCUUAGUUGCCUAGCCUGCCUAGAAAUUCAGUGACCCAGAUUUGGGACUUUUUCUUUUUGUUGCUCAUGCUUUAAAUAUUUUUGUUUCAUUUUAUGAAUUGUGGAAGAACCGUACUUUCUAUCACUGAAAUUUGUUGCUCUUGUUCUCAUGCAGUGUCUCUAUUUCUUUGAUAGUUUGAAUUCUUAGUUGAUUACUAAUGAUUGAUCCAUGAAUGCAUUUGCAGUUGCCCCAAUGGCCAUGAUUAAUUUUUAUAAAAUCUGGGACUCAAACAUCUUUUUGUAACUUUUCGAUGAUGCCAAAAGGGGAAAGAUGGGCUCUGAACAAGUGAUAUUUAUAACCUAAAUGACGCUGGUUCUUUAUGAUAAGUGCUUAAUACUCUAAUAUGUGUCAAUGUUGGAUUAAGUCGAAACAGGCCUAAGCUUAUGGACGCACAAAGUUUGUCAUCAUAAAAAAAGGGCAAUUUGUUGGCCCAAGAAAGAGAAUAGUUUUGAAGAUUGACAAAGGAACUCAAAUAUGAACCAGGUUCAUCACUGGCAGACAUAGACACCGACAGAGUCAAGGCACGUGAGUUGCACAUGCAGGAGAUAAGCGUAUUCUGGUAGAAUGAGAUAUCUCCUGAUCGAAAAGAUUGCAAAAACGAUAAAGAGAAGGACUCCUUAUUCAAAUGUUCUUAUUGUACAAGGACACACAAAAACAAAAGUUAAGCAAGAAUUGAGAGCAAAAUAGCGAGGCAAUUUUGCAAGCAGUUCGAGUGAUAUUUGAGUGUGCGAAUCUGAUGCUACUUGAACCAGCUAGAAGAACUAGUUCUAACUGUUGUCUUUUAGUCUAGUUAUUUGUAGUAGGUGGUUUUAACUUGUACCUUUUUAACUUUAUCUAGAAGCGUCUGUAAUAUGUACUUUGUAUUUUCAAGUUAGAGUUAACUUGAAGUUUGUCGCAAAUAGCUAGAGGCUAGUUUGCUACAAGGGGUUAGAUGUAAUCCUAGGUUUACAAAUGAGUUUUUGUAAAUGCUGUUUUGGUUCACUGAUUUAGUAAAGAGUUUUGGAAAAAUCCUACUAGGAAGUAGGUCGUGGUUUUUUCACCUUUUGAUACAGGUAUUUUCCACGUAAAAAUUAUGUGUUCUUUAUUUUUUGUACUUAUUAUUCCGCAACAGUAGCAGUUGGAACACAUAGAAGAACCAGGUCCUUCUAUAAUCUGUGCACACAAAAAAUUGGACACCAUACAAAUCACCCAUUUUUGUGCGAUAUUGACGUAUAAAACAUCAUAAUCAUAUUGGUGAUUACGAAGAUAAUAGUACUUCUUAAACUAAAGAUAACAACUUCUUGUCUUUCUUCUUUUCUCGAAUUGAAUUCCUCCAACUGUGGUUCAAAUUCUCUAUCAUAUAUAUGCCUAAUUCAAUUUUGGGAAAAUUAAACAGACAGAAAGAAAGCAAUAUGUCUCCAUUAAUUAAACAAUAGCAUAUCUCAAGGCACUAAAUUACAGUAGCAAGAUUAAUAGAUCAAAGACUAUAACUUCGUACUAACCAAAACCAAGUCAAGAACAUAACUACUUAAUCUAACAACUUUUGAGAAAUAUAAGAGUAGUUGUCACAUGCAUACGUAUCCCCUAAUUAAGAAGUGCAGAAAUCGCAGCAGCACAAGUCCUCCAAAAAGCUAGCCAUGCAAUCGUAUAAGCAAGAACAACUGCAGCAAAUUAAAUGGAUUCCUCAAAAGAUAAAAGUAAUGAUCAAAUGGUUCCAAUUAACUAGCAAGAAUAGAACAAAUAUAAUGAAGUGAGAAGAGGGAUACCCUUCAUUGAUAAAUUUGUCCAGUUCAUCCUCUAUUGGGGGAGAAUUUCUGGUGGAAGUGUCUAUGGCCUGUAUCUGCGGUGGAUCCAUUCCCCCUCUCUAUUAGUCUGAAUUUCUCAGUGUCUCAAACUCUGCUCUAUUUUGUGUGUGUGUGUGUGUGUGUUCGAAUGCUAUUUGAACUUUUUGGUAAAUUGGUGCAAGGAUUGGAUGGUUAGAUGAUUUAAAAGGAAAGAAGAUCAAACUCUUGCCAAAUUUCCGUUUUUAUGCUACUUACUUUUCAUGAUUCUCGCAUUUGAUGCCCUUGGACUUGAUGAGUUAAAAGUUGACCACCUUCCAUCAUGAUUCACGUUUUCAAACGCAAUCGUUAGAAGGUUCUAAGACUAGUAGGUGAAUAAUAAUUUCAGCUAUUUAUGGACAAUAUACCUCUUGGUUUCUAUAUAUGGUUAUACACUUCCAAUUUUAUUUUUUUCGAACAAAAGAUUUGGAACUCUUGAAUAGAAAACACAUAUAGUUUCAUGUGUGCCUAUUAAUCCGUUUAUUCAUCGAAAAUCAAAGCUCUGUUCUGCCUCCCUUAUCAGUAAUUAGUAGGAGUAGUUCGCCUUUUAUUUCCCAUUCCUUUCGCUAACAAUGUUUAAUUUGACAUAUUGUUGAUUUAUCCUUGUACUUGAGGUUAAUAAUGUGGAAUGGAUUGCAAAAUAUUUAUCUCAUUUUUUACUUUAAGCUGAUCAAUCAUAUUAAAACUUUGACGCAUAGUAACAGAGAAUAUGAUAGCUUGCUAUAAUGGAUAGUUUGGCCAAACCGUGGAAGAAGCUGCAGAAUCUGAGAGCAUGCGGCACAGUAUUAGAGCAUGCGGCACAGUAUACAGAAGAGCACUGGGUUGCUGUAGAUACUAAACCUACUAAAGCACACGGAAAUUUAUAGGUCGUCAAAUAAUAUUGGAAUAGAGAAAUAGAGCAACAUAGACAGUGGGGAUUCAUAUAGUUGACCUCAACUGCUUGGAUAGCGGUGCAGUUUUUGUGACGUAUAUGUUUGUCUCAGCUUUGCAUUGUAGAAUUCAUUCAGCUGCUUUGCAUUACACAAUAAGCAAUCAGGAAAUACUUUAAAGAUUGAUAGUUAACUCAUGUAACUUCUAAAGCAUUUCAAUAUCUUUGAUUUCUGUCAUUGCAUCUGUAUAGUUGUCGUUGAAGCUCCAUUUUUUGUUAGUAAUACACAAAUUCUACAUGUAAGAUCCAAGGUCUGCAGGGCAAUUUCCCUGGACUAUACACAAGUUUCUUCCCCUCAAGUUCUAGACAUUGCUGAGGGAGAGUAUGAGAGUAUCUCCUGGCUCCAAACCGGGAGCUACCUACGAAGCACAUUGAUAAAGGUCUGUAAUGUAUUCACUAGUCAAGCUCUCCUUAGAAAACCACAUCAAUAAAGAUGAGUACUACUAUUUCGGAAGAUAGCCGAGGUAGCUUGCUUCCAACCCACCGCACCAGAUGGGCAUAUGUACUUGUAGUAGUCGGCCCAGAAUGCCAUUGUUCUUUAAUGAGGAUGAACUGGGGAGGCCCAUGAGAGUUGAACGAGCAAAAUAACGCGUUGCCAUUGUUUAUGUUAGAAUAUGAAUGAUGUUAUUGCUGGCCUGUCUUAAUCAGGCAUAAAGAUUAAGUCGGCAGACAUUAAAGUCAAUUUGCACCAUCCGAGCAUGCCAUUCUUUGGAUCGCGAUGUUUUUUUCUUUGCCAGCUCCUUGUGUGCUAUCUCUCUAAUGAUACAUGCACUGAGUCAAGUUUAUAACUUAGCUGCUCUCUCUGAGAAUGCAACUUUUC
RNAcentral lists this long non-coding RNA (6277 nucleotides) under Nicotiana tabacum (common tobacco). RNAcentral's name for it is "long non-coding RNA (NTAB_LNC018579)". The record is from RNAcentral. Lineage: Eukaryota; Viridiplantae; Streptophyta; Magnoliopsida; Solanales; Solanaceae.